UACGUAGGGUGCAAGCGUUGUCCGGAAUUAUUGGGCGUAAAGAGCUCGUAGGCGGCUUGUCGCGUCGGCUGUGAAAACCUGGGGCUCAACCCCGGGCCUGCAGCCGAUACGGGCAGGCUGGAGUUCGGUAGGGGAGACUGGAAUUCCUGGUGUAGCGGUGAAAUGCGCAGAUAUCAGGAGGAACACCGGUGGCGAAGGCGGGUCUCUGGGCCGAUACUGACGCUGAGGAGCGAAAGCGUGGGGAGCGAACAGG
RNAcentral lists this ribosomal RNA (253 nucleotides) under uncultured bacterium. RNAcentral's name for it is "partial 16S ribosomal RNA". It matches the Rfam family "Bacterial small subunit ribosomal RNA", at positions 524 to 776 of the family's 1533-position model. The record is from RNAcentral.